This 253-nucleotide ribosomal RNA is filed under the name uncultured bacterium. Its description in RNAcentral is "partial 16S ribosomal RNA". It matches the Rfam family "Bacterial small subunit ribosomal RNA", at positions 524 to 776 of the family's 1533-position model. The record is from RNAcentral.
GACAGAGGGUGCAAACGUUGUUCGGAAUUACUGGGCGUAAAGCGCGUGUAGGCGGCUAAGUAAGUCGGGCGUGAAAUCCCACGGCUCAACCGUGGAAGUGCACUCGAAACUGCAUAGCUAGAGUCCUGGAGAGGAAGGUGGAAUGCUUGGUGUAGAGGUGAAAUUCGUAGAUAUCAAGCGGAACACCGGUGGCGAAGGCGGCCUUCUGGACAGUGACUGACGCUGAGACGCGAAAGCUAGGGGAGCGAACAGG